UACGGAGGGUGCAAGCGUUAUCCGGAUUCACUGGGUUAAAGGGUGCGUAGGUGGGCAGGUAAGUCAGUGGUGAAAUCUCUGGGCUUAACCCGGAACUGCCGUUGAUACUAUCUGUCUUGAAUGUAGUGGAGGUGAGCGGAAUAUGUCAUGUAGCGGUGAAAUGCUUAGAUAUGACAUAGAACACCCAUUGCGAAGGCAGCUCGCUACACUAUUAUUGACACUGAGGCACGAAAGCGUGGGGAUCGAAACAGG
This 252-nucleotide ribosomal RNA is filed under the name uncultured bacterium. RNAcentral describes it as "partial 16S ribosomal RNA". It matches the Rfam family "Bacterial small subunit ribosomal RNA", at positions 524 to 776 of the family's 1533-position model. The record is from RNAcentral.